RNAcentral lists this ribosomal RNA (252 nucleotides) under uncultured prokaryote. Its description in RNAcentral is "partial 16S rRNA". It matches the Rfam family "Archaeal small subunit ribosomal RNA", at positions 475 to 726 of the family's 1478-position model. The record is from RNAcentral.
ACCGGCAGCUCAAGUGGUGGCCAUUUUUAUUGGGCCUAAAGCGUUCGUAGCCGGUUUGAUAAGUCUCUGGUGAAAUCCCGCAGCUUAACUGUGGGACUUGCUGGAGAUACUAUUAGACUUGAGGUCGGGAGAGGUUAGGGUUACUCCCAGGGUAGGGGUGGAAUCAUAUAAUCCUGGGAGGACUACCUGUGGCGAAGGCGACUAACUGGGACGUACCUGACGGUGAGUAACGAAAGUCAGGGGCGCGAACCG